AUGCAAGUCGAACGGAAACUUAUAGCAAUAUAAGUUUGAGUGGCGGAUGGGUGAGUAACGCGUAAGAAUCUACCUCAAGGACAGGAAUAACCUUUGGAAACGAUGGGUAAUACCUGAUAAUGGCUUCGGCCUAAAACGGGCAACCGCCUCGAGAUGAGCUUGCGUCUGAUUAUGCUAGUUGGAGAGGUAAAAGCUUAACAAGGCGACGAUCAGUAGCUGGUUUGAGAGAAUGAUCAGCCACACUGGGACUGAGACACGGCCCAGACUCCUACGGGAGGCAGCAGUGAGGAAUUUUUCGCAAUGGGCGCAAGCCUGACGGAGCAAUACUGCGUGGAGGAUGAAGGCUCGUGGGCUGUAAACUCCUUUUCCUAGAGAAGAAGUUCUGACGGUAUCUGGGGAAUAAGCAUCAGCUAACUGCGUGCCAGCAGCUGCGGUAAUACGUGGGAUGCAAGCGUUAUCCGGAUUUAUUGGGGGUAAAGCGUCUGUAGGUGGCUUCGCAAGUUUGUUGUUAAAUCAUUCAGCUUAACUGAAUUCAAGCAGCAAAAACUAUGGAGCUUGAGUGUGGUAGAGGAAGAGGGAAUUCCCUGUGGAGCGGUGAAAUGCGUAGAGAUAGGGAAGAACACCAAUGGCGAAAGCACUCUUCUGGGCCUGCACUGACACUGAGAGACGAAAGCUAGGGGAGCGAGUAGGAUUAGAUACCCUAUUAGUCCUAGCCGUAAACGAUGGAA
This 728-nucleotide ribosomal RNA is filed under the name uncultured cyanobacterium. Its description in RNAcentral is "bacterial SSU rRNA". It matches the Rfam family "Bacterial small subunit ribosomal RNA", at positions 55 to 814 of the family's 1533-position model. Lineage: Bacteria; Bacillati; Cyanobacteriota. The record is from RNAcentral.